Molecule: unclassified non-coding RNA, 1578 nt
Filed under: Lytechinus variegatus (green sea urchin)
Lineage: Eukaryota; Metazoa; Echinodermata; Echinoidea; Temnopleuroida; Toxopneustidae
Description: calcium-binding protein LPS1-alpha-like, transcript variant X1
Source: RNAcentral
CACAGCCGAGUGCACAUGGCCAGGAGGAGCACAAACCCAGCAGCACCUCAUAAUCAAAAUAUUGAAAGUAGCAUUGCCACUUUAGAGAGGCGCGUACUGUACCUACCCAGUAUAACGUGUAUUAGCUUUUAUCUUUACUUGACUUGUUUACUUGUCCCUUGUCGACCCGAGCCAUACGCCACACCUUACUAUACCCAACGUACCAGAGAAGUCUCGUUCGUGAGCUCCAGACAGAUUUCUGUUUUAUCCACAACUUGCGGAGUUGAUCAUAAAUUGGAGAAAAUGGCAAGUGGGCUACCAAAGGAGGAGAUUGAAGAGCUUAGGAAAGAAUUCAAUAAGGAGGACAUUAAUAAAGAUGGCAGCAUCUCUGUUGACGAACUAUCGAAAGUUAUGGGAAAUUUUUUCACGGAUGAUGAAACAAGAGCAUGGAUUAAAGAAGUCGAUAUUAACAGUGACGGACGUGUUCAAUUUGAAGAGUAUUUGUUGUUGGUGCAGGGAAAGAAGAUGACAAAAUCUUACAACAAGGUAGAGUUAGAAAGAAUGUUCAAAGACCUUGACAAGGAUGGUAGCGGAAAGCUCUGUGUCCAAGAACUGAGAUUGGGCUUCAAAUCGUUCUAUGAAAAAAGGAUCGAUAAGAUUUUAGCAGAAUGCGACAAGGAUGGCGAUGGUCUCAUCGACUAUAAAGAAUUCACCGAGUCGUUGAUUUUUAAACUUCCCGUUCCAGAGUGAAGGUGAUGAUCGUGUUCUCCUUACUACAAAUCCUCUAUUAGAUUCCACUCACAAGGUCGACCCUCAUAUUUAUAUGUUACUUUAAGCGAAGGUGAUAAUUUCUGUUUGUGUAUAUUUUUCAUCAUUAUCUUACUUCUGAAAGCCGACUUUACAUUAUCCAUUAUUUUGUUUCCUGGUGGGUGUUUCUUAAAGUCGCUCUUACGAACAGCUUUAUGAAACGGCCCCUGCACUCGGGAUACCUUAUAAUCAUAACGGAACAAGGUGUAUAUGUGUGGGUUUUUUUUAUUCUUGAGUCCAAACAUUUGUCAUACAAUGCCUGUCAUGAAUGAUACAUUCGUUUCAGAUAUUAUAAUAAUCACAAUGGAGAAUAAAGACUGAAAAGCGCAUGAAUGUAUAUAUGCAGGUAGAAAAUAGCCCCAGAAAUUACGGACCUCCCAAUUUGAUUUUAGGCAGUUAUUUUCAUGUUUAUCAGACAACGUGGCUGGAAGCCUUAAGAGCACACUUUCUAAAGUCCAGUUGUGUUUAAAGGUAUAGACUUAAUUCUUUGUACCCUCAUAAAAUUCAAUUCAUCUUUUUGACCUGUUGACACAAAUGCAAAGUGUAGGCUUUCUUCAGUCAAAUCACUGAUAAACAUUUAUGCCACAUUUGGUAUCGCUGUGAAAGCGUGAAGAGGAGUUGACACAGUGCAAUCAUCAUUUUGUGUAUACAUAUAUCACGUCGAAGAAUAAAUAAUUAUGGACGAUGAUAACAUCUUCAAUGUCAUAGCAUUUAGUCUUAAUGUAAUAUUGUUACAACGAAAUUCCAGUUCGUAUGUCACAUUUGUUUUUUCUCUUUUUGUCAUAUAUUGUG